Molecule: non-coding RNA, 516 nt
Organism: Lupinus albus (white lupine)
Lineage: Eukaryota; Viridiplantae; Streptophyta; Magnoliopsida; Fabales; Fabaceae
Source: the annotation of a GenBank genome assembly
AAAAAAGCAGGGGUUUGUUGCCUUUGUGAACUGGCCUCUCGUAACAUUCAGGGAUAUCAUAACCAAUGUUAUUGGGUGAACCUAUGUUUUUUUUUGUGUGGCUUAAGGUUCAGUAAACAAUGGAACAUGUCAAUUCAUUGAUUUUAAGUUAUUUUGUUGUUAUGUUAUUUUUUUACUGCCAUCAUGUAUAAUUUGAAGAAAAUGUAGCUGUGAUUUGUUGUUACUAAAUACAUUUUAUUUUAUUUACUAAUGAAGUGGCAUAGUUUCUGUGUGAUUUACCUUACUAAACGAAAUUAUUUGUGCACAUGAUUAAAUUUUCUAAAAUUAGGAAAAGGGAUAGCAAGAACUUUUUUUUCUUUAAAAAAAUGGAGCUAGGUAACCUGAUUAAAAAAGCAGGGGUCUGUUGCCUAAUGUGAGCAUGCCUCUCGUAACCUUCAGGGAUAUAAUAAUCAUUGUUCUUGGGUGAACCUCUGCUCUUUAUUUGUGACUGACGGUUCAGUAAACGAUGGAACAUGC